ACUUUUUUUUUUUUCAAAAAAAGAAUACAAAAAUAUAUUAAAUAAAUUUAAAUAUUUAUUUUUUGUAAUUAUUUUUAUAAAUUUUAAAUUUUUUAAUCAAAAUAUCAGUUUAUAUAAAUAUAAUUUAUUGUUUAUAUUUUUUUAAAUUAUAUGUACAUUUUUAAAAAAAUAAAAAAAGGAGCCGGCCCGGAGCACGACCCGGCCAGGCACGG
RNAcentral lists this long non-coding RNA (212 nucleotides) under Ananas comosus (pineapple). RNAcentral's name for it is "long non-coding RNA (ACOM_LNC014118)". The record is from RNAcentral. Lineage: Eukaryota; Viridiplantae; Streptophyta; Magnoliopsida; Poales; Bromeliaceae.